AAAGGCGCGCGAUACAGGGUGACAGCCCCGUACACAAAAGCGCAUGUGCUGUGAGCUCGAUGAGUAGGGCGGGACACGUGGUAUCCUGUCUGAAUAUGGGGGGACCAUCCUCCAAGGCUAAAUACUCCUGACUGACCGAUAGUGAACCAGUACCGUGAGGGAAAGGCGAAAAGAACCCCGGCGAGGGGAGUGAAAAAGAACCUGAAACCGUGUACGUACAAGCAGUGGGAGCACCCUUUGGGGUGUGACUGCGUACCUUUUGUAUAAUGGGUCAGCGACUUAUAUUCUGUAGCAAGGUUAACCGAAUAGGGGAGCCGGAGGGAAACCGAGUCUUAAUUGGGCGUUAAGUUGCAGGGUAUAGACCCGAAACCCGGUGAUCUAGCCAUGGGCAGGUUGAAGGUUGGGUAACACUAACUGGAGGACCGAACCGACUAAUGUUGAAAAAUUAGCGGAUGACCUGUGGCUGGGGGUGAAAGGCCAAUCAAACCGGGAGAUAGCUGGUUCUCCCCGAAAGCUAUUUAGGUAGCGCCUCGUGAAUUCAUCUCCGGGGGUAGAGCACUGUUUCGGCUAGGGGGCCAUCCCGGCUUACCAACCCGAUGCAAACUGCGAAUACCGGAGAAUGUUAUCACGGGAGACACACGGCGGGUGCUAACGUCCGUCGUGAAGAGGGAAACAACCCAGACCGCCAGCUAAGGUCCCAAAGUCAUGGUUAAGUGGGAAACGAUGUGGGAAGGCCCAGACAGCCAGGAUGUUGGCUUAGAAGCAGCCAUCAUUUAAAGAAAGCGUAAUAGCUCACUGGUCGAGUCGGCCUGCGCGGAAGAUGUAACGGGGCUAAACCAUGCACCGAAGCUGCGGCAGCGACGCUGAUGCGUUGUUGGGUAGGGGAGCGUUCUGUAAGCCUGCGAAGGUGGCCUGUGAGGGUUGCUGGAGGUAUCAGAAGUGCGAAUGCUGACAUAAGUAACGAUAAAGCGGGUGAAAAGCCCGCUCGCCGGAAGACCAAGGGUUCCUGUCCAACGUUAAUCGGGGCAGGGUGAGUCGACCCCUAAGGCGAGGCCGAAAGGCGUAGUCGAUGGGAAACGGGUUAAUAUUCCCGUACUUGGUGUUACUGCGAAGGGGGGACGGAGAAGGCUAUGUUGGCCGGGCGACGGUUGUCCCGGUUUAAGCGUGUAGGUGUGUGUUCCAGGUAAAUCCGGUUCACUUUAACACUGAGGCGUGAUGACGAGGCACUACGGUGCUGAAGCAACAAAUGCCCUGCUUCCAGGAAAAGCCUCUAAGCAUCAGGUAACAUCAAAUCGUACCCCAAACCGACACAGGUGGUCAGGUAGAGAAUACCAAGGCGCUUGAGAGAACUCGGGUGAAGGAACUAGGCAAAAUGGUGCCGUAACUUCGGGAGAAGGCACGCUGACACGUAGGUGAAGUGAUUUACUCAUGGAGCUGAAGUCAGUCGAAGAUACCAGCUGGCUGCAACUGUUUAUUAAAAACACAGCACUGUGCAAACACGAAAGUGGACGUAUACGGUGUGACGCCUGCCCGGUGCCGGAAGGUUAAUUGAUGGGGUCAGCGCAAGCGAAGCUCCUGAUCGAAGCCCCGGUAAACGGCGGCCGUAACUAUAACGGUCCUAAGGUAGCGAAAUUCCUUGUCGGGUAAGUUCCGACCUGCACGAAUGGCGUAAUGAUGGCCAGGCUGUCUCCACCCGAGACUCAGUGAAAUUGAACUCGCUGUGAAGAUGCAGUGUACCCGCGGCAAGACGGAAAGACCCCGUGAACCUUUACUAUAGCUUGACACUGAACAUUGAGCCUUGAUGUGUAGGAUAGGUGGGAGGCUUUGAAGUGUGGACGCCAGUCUGCAUGGAGCCGGCCUUGAAAUACCACCCUUUAAUGUUUGAUGUUCUAACGUGGACCCGUGAUCCGGGUUGCGGACAGUGUCUGGUGGGUAGUUUGACUGGGGCGGUCUCCUCCUAAAGAGUAACGGAGGAGCACGAAGGUUGGCUAAUCCUGGUCGGACAUCAGGAGGUUAGUGCAAUGGCAUAAGCCAGCUUGACUGCGAGCGUGACGGCGCGAGCAGGUGCGAAAGCAGGUCAUAGUGAUCCGGUGGUUCUGAAUGGAAGGGCCAUCGCUCAACGGAUAAAAGGUACUCCGGGGAUAACAGGCUGAUACCGCCCAAGAGUUCAUAUCGACGGCGGUGUUUGGCACCUCGAUGUCGGCUCAUCACAUCCUGGGGCUGAAGUAGGUCCCAAGGGUAUGGCUGUUCGCCAUUUAAAGUGGUACGCGAGCUGGGUUUAGAACGUCGUGAGACAGUUCGGUCCCUAUCUGCCGUGGGCGCUGGAGAACUGAGGGGGGCUGCUCCUAGUACGAGAGGACCGGAGUGGACGCAUCACUGGUGUUCGGGUUGUCAUGCCAAUGGCACUGCCCGGUAGCUAAAUGCGGAAGAGAUAAGUGCUGAAAGCAUCUAAGCACGAAACUUGCCCCGAGAUGAGUUCUCCCUGAGACUUAGAGUCUCCUGAAGGAACGUUGAAGACGACGACGUUGAUAGGCCGGGUGUGUAAGCGCAGCGAUGCGUUGAGCUAACCGGUACUAAUGAACCGUGAGGCUUAACCUU
RNAcentral lists this ribosomal RNA (2598 nucleotides) under Salmonella enterica. RNAcentral describes it as "partial 23S ribosomal RNA". It matches the Rfam family "Bacterial large subunit ribosomal RNA", at positions 346 to 2925 of the family's 2925-position model. The record is from RNAcentral. Lineage: Bacteria; Pseudomonadati; Pseudomonadota; Gammaproteobacteria; Enterobacterales; Enterobacteriaceae. RNAcentral also lists the same sequence under 2 other names.